CAGCAGCCACGGUAAUACGUAGGUGGCAAGCGUUGUCCGGAAUUAUUGGGCGUAAAGGGCUCGCAGGCGGUUUCUUAAGUCUGAUGUGAAGGCCCCCGGCUCAACCGUGGAGGGUCAUUGGAAACUGUUAAACUUGAGUGCAGGAGAGAAAAGUGGAAUUCCUAGUGUAGCGGUGAAAUGCGUAGAGAUUAGGAGGAACACCAGUGGCGAAGGCGGCUUUUUGGCCUGUAACUGACACUGAGGCGCGAAAGCGUGGGGAGCAAACAGGAUUAGAUACCCCGGUAGUCCCUGUCUCUUAUAC
Molecule: ribosomal RNA, 301 nt
Filed under: uncultured bacterium
Lineage: Bacteria
Description: partial 16S ribosomal RNA
Rfam family: Bacterial small subunit ribosomal RNA
Source: RNAcentral